RNAcentral lists this ribosomal RNA (397 nucleotides) under uncultured archaeon. RNAcentral's name for it is "bacterial SSU rRNA". It matches the Rfam family "Archaeal small subunit ribosomal RNA", at positions 474 to 871 of the family's 1478-position model. The record is from RNAcentral.
CACCAGCCCCUCGAGUGGUGGGGACUUUUAUUUGGUCUAAAGCGUCCGUAGCUGGCUAUGUAAGUCUCCCGUCAAAUCCGGCGUCCUAAGCGUCGGUCUUCGGGAGAUACUACAAAGCUAGAGGGUGGGAUAGGUGAGCGGUAUUUCUGGGGUAGGGGCGAAAUCCUUUGAUCCCAGGAGGACCACCAGUGGCGAAGGCUGCUCACUAGAACACGCCUGACGGUCAGGGACGAAAGCUGGGGCAGCGAACCGGAUUAGAUACCCGGGUAGUCCCAGCUGUAAACGAUGCUAGCUAGGUGUCGGGUCGGCCACGCGCCGCCCCAGUGCCGCAGGGAAGCCGUUAAGCUAGCCACCUGGGGAGUACGGCCGCAAGGCUGAAACUCAAAUGAAUUGACGG